RNAcentral lists this ribosomal RNA (497 nucleotides) under uncultured bacterium. RNAcentral's name for it is "partial 16S ribosomal RNA". It matches the Rfam family "Bacterial small subunit ribosomal RNA", at positions 28 to 507 of the family's 1533-position model. The record is from RNAcentral.
GAUGAACGCUGGCGGCGUGCCUAAUACAUGCAAGUCGAGCGAACGGACGAGAAGCUUGCUUCUCUGAUGUUAGCGGCGGACGGGUGAGUAACACGUGUAUAACCUACCUAUAAGACUGGGAUAACUUCGGGAAACCGGAGCUAAUACCGGAUAAUCUUUUGAACCGCAUGGUUCAAAAGUGAAAGACGGUCUUGCUGUCACUUAUAGAUGGAUCCGCGCUGCAUUAGCUAGUUGGUAAGGUAACGGCUUACCAAGGCAACGAUGCAUAGCCGACCUGAGAGGGUGAUCGGCCACACUGGAACUGAGACACGGUCCAGACUCCUACGGGAGGCAGCAGUAGGGAAUCUUCCGCAAUGGGCGAAAGCCUGACGGAGCAACGCCGCGUGAGUGAUGAAGGUCUUCGGAUCGUAAAACUCUGUUAUUAGGGAAGAACAGAUGUGUAAGUAACUGUGCACAUCUUGACGGUACCUAAUCAGAAAGCAACGGCUAACUACGUG